CGAACAUGUAGAUCUCGCGCAGUUCGUUGUCAGCUCCAAUGAAAGAGAAGACAACGGACACGCAUGUGAGACGCACGGUGAAUGCGCCAGUCCCCGCGCUGCCUCCUUCGCUUGAUCUGGUGAUGACGCGCGAAAGGCCAGCAUCGUCGUUGCCCGACAGAUGGGUGCACGGCACGACAAAGUCGAUUUCGGGCCGUUCAUCCGGAACCAGUGAAAGAAGACAACGGGCACGCAUGUGAGACGCACGAUCAAUUGGCUGACGAGCCUCUCUGCGACGCCUGUGCUGAGCCGUGCUCCAUCAAAGGCUGCAGAAGGCAGUGCCAACCUUUCGCUUCUUUAGAAAUAACCACUUUUCUUUCUCUCUCUCUCUUUCUCUCUGUUACGUAACUUUAUUCUCCUUCUUUUUACAUUUUUUUCUCUAUUGUGGGACAUGUUCUGGCAUCUCCUUGUAAUUAACUGCUAUUUCUCUUUUCGCUGUCUCAUAGGACUGACAAUUUUCCAAAAUGUAUUUUUGUACCCGUACUAGCCUUUGGCUAUGGGACCACGCAUAUUUUGUGUACCUUAUCAAAUAAAGUGAUACGCAAUAAAGAAAUAAGAACUUUAUCGUCGUUUCUUGACUAGCUGCUGGAGUGAGGUGAAAGCAGA
Molecule: long non-coding RNA, 645 nt
Organism: Dermacentor andersoni
Lineage: Eukaryota; Metazoa; Arthropoda; Arachnida; Ixodida; Ixodidae
Source: RefSeq, a predicted model, not a curated record